Mandrillus leucophaeus (drill) is the source of this 294-nucleotide unclassified non-coding RNA. Its record names the gene 7SK. It matches the Rfam family "7SK RNA". From Rfam's summary of the family: 7SK was discovered as an abundant small nuclear RNA in the mid-70s but a possible function has only recently been suggested. Two independent studies have found that 7SK RNA binds the CDK9/cyclin T complex (known as elongation factor P-TEFb). The record is from Ensembl. Lineage: Eukaryota; Metazoa; Chordata; Mammalia; Primates; Cercopithecidae.
GGAUGUGUGCACCAUCUGGUUGGGACAUCUGUCACUGUGCUGAUCUGCAGGGCUGAUUCAACUAAUCUGGCUGGUUAGGUGGCUGUCCCCAUUCUCCCUCACUACUCCACACAGCUUCCUCCCAAAGUGGUGUGGCAAUUUGACCAAGAAGGCCACUCCCUGGUCAAGGACACCUAUCAGCUACACACAGAGAAACUUCUCUGGCUUGUUUUGUUGAAAAACUAAUAGUGGACAAAAACAAAUAAUCUUUUAGUUUUUGAAGGAGGGAAUUGAAGUGACAACUUUUUGUUCUUC